This 539-nucleotide ribosomal RNA is filed under the name uncultured Alphaproteobacteria bacterium. Its description in RNAcentral is "bacterial SSU rRNA". It matches the Rfam family "Bacterial small subunit ribosomal RNA", at positions 1 to 598 of the family's 1533-position model. Lineage: Bacteria; Pseudomonadati; Pseudomonadota; Alphaproteobacteria. The record is from RNAcentral.
GGAAUUCGAUUAGAGUUUGAUCAUGGCUCAGAACGAACGCUGGCGGCAUGCCUAACACAUGCAAGUCGAACGAGAUCUUCGGGUCUAGUGGCGCACGGGUGCGUAACGCGUGGGAAUCUGCCCUCAGGUUCGGAAUAACCAUUGGAAACGAUGGCUAAUACCGGAUGAUGACGUUAAGUCCAAAGAUUUAUCGCCUGAGGAUGAGCCCGCGUAGGAUUAGCUAGUUGGUGUGGUAAGGGCGCACCAAGGCGACGAUCCUUAGCUGGUCUGAGAGGAUGAUCAGCCACACUGGGACUGAGACACGGCCCAGACUCCUACGGGAGGCAGCAGUGGGGAAUAUUGGACAAUGGGCGCAAGCCUGAUCCAGCAAUGCCGCGUGAGUGAUGAAGGCCUUAGGGUUGUAAAGCUCUUUUACCCGGGAUGAUAAUGACAGUACCGGGAGAAUAAGCUCCGGCUAACUCCGUGCCAGCAGCCGCGGUAAUACGAAUCACUAGUGAAUUCGCGGCCGCCUGCAGGUCGACCAUAUGGGAGAGCUCCCA